GUGAGGAAUAUUGCGCAAUGGGGGAAACCCUGACGCAGCGACGCCGCGUGAGUGAUGAAGGCCUUCGGGUCGUAAAGCUCUGUUGCAGGGGAAUAAAAAAAUGAAGGUACCCUGUGAGGAAGGAUCGGCUAACUUCGUGCCAGCAGCCGCGGUAAGACGAGGGAUCCUAGCGUUGCUCGGAAUCAUUGGGCGUAAAGAGGGCGUAGGUGGCUUGGUAAGUCAGGUGUGAAAGCCCAGGGCUCAACCCUGGAAGUGCAUUUGAUACUGCUGAGCUUGAGUGUCGGAGAGGUUACCGGAAUACCUGGUGUAGUGGUGAAAUACGUAGAUAUCAGGUGGAACACCGGAGGCGAAGGCGGGUAACUGGACGAACACUGACACUGAGGCCCGAAAGCGUGGGGAUCAAACAGGAUUAGAAACCCGGGUAGUCC
RNAcentral lists this ribosomal RNA (428 nucleotides) under uncultured bacterium. RNAcentral describes it as "partial 16S ribosomal RNA". It matches the Rfam family "Bacterial small subunit ribosomal RNA", at positions 354 to 796 of the family's 1533-position model. The record is from RNAcentral.